CCUACGGGAGGCAGCAGUGGGGAAUUUUGGACAAUGGGCGCAAGCCUGAUCCAGCAAUGCCGCGUGCAGGAUGAAGGCCUUCGGGUUGUAAACUGCUUUUGUACGGAACGAAACGGCGAGCUCUAAUAAAGUUUGCUAAUGACGGUACCGUAAGAAUAAGCACCGGCUAACUACGUGCCAGCAGCCGCGGUAAUACGUAGGGUGCAAGCGUUAAUCGGAAUUACUGGGCGUAAAGCGUGCGCAGGCGGUUAUAUAAGACAGAUGUGAAAUCCCCGGGCUCAACCUGGGACCUGCAUUUGUGACUGUAUAGCUAGAGUACGGUAGAGGGGGAUGGAAUUCCGCGUGUAGCAGUGAAAUGCGUAGAUAUGCGGAGGAACACCGAUGGCGAAGGCAAUCCCCCUGGACCUGUACUGACGCUCAUGCACGAAAGCGUGGGGAGCAAACAGGAUUAGAUACCCUGGUAGUCCACGCCCUAAACCGAUGUCAACUGGUUGUUGGGUCUUCACUGACUCAGUAACGAAGCUAACGCGUGAAGUUGACCGCCUGGGGAGUACGGCCGCAAGGUUGAAACUCAAGGAAUUGACGGCUGGAGAGNGCGAGCGACGACGAGGGAGAGG
RNAcentral lists this ribosomal RNA (617 nucleotides) under uncultured bacterium. RNAcentral's name for it is "bacterial SSU rRNA". It matches the Rfam family "Bacterial small subunit ribosomal RNA", at positions 338 to 946 of the family's 1533-position model. The record is from RNAcentral.